This is an RNA transcript of Durio zibethinus, 2568 nucleotides long. It is a transcript of the gene named putative alkaline/neutral invertase B, with no coding region annotated. The record is from RefSeq and is a predicted model, not a curated record. NCBI's taxonomy places the organism in Eukaryota, Viridiplantae, Streptophyta, Magnoliopsida, Malvales, Malvaceae.
UUGAAGCUUUUAGCACAAGUUCACCAAGGAUCCCCUCUCGUCUCCAUCAACACCAUUGUAAUUUGUGACGCUCGAGUCCCCGACACUCGCAGUUCAAUCAUGUAACCGUCACCCCCGUCACAGUCCGCUUAGCAGCCUUCCACGUGGGUUCCACCCCAUGGACUGCUCCGUACAUUUCACGAGCCCAACCUACCUAAACCACAAAAAAAAAAAAAAAAAAGAAAAGAAAUUGAACCGGCUGGAUGCAUCAUGCUUUGUGCAGGUCCUUGUUUUGAGCGCUUCAUACCCAGCUGCCGGUCACCUCUACUAAUCCAGCAAACGAGGUUUACCGGUUGAGCCAGUCAGGCUCUUGGACCCCAGUUCGAUAGAUUACCCCAUCACCCAUCACUCUCGAAACGGAGCUUAUUUCUUCCAUUUUCUUGUAAGAGUGAAACUUUUUUCUCUAAGCCACUUUCAUAGAAAGGAAUUUUGUGGCAUUUCUUGGUUAUGAUCUGUUCUUUCAAAGGUUUUAGAACAUUUGAAUCAGGAUUAGAUUACUACAAUUUGUAUUUAGAAUAUGGAUGUGAAUCACAAUAAAAAUAUGAAAAAUGAGGAUAUGCUCUCUCCCUUGGCCGAAUAUGAAGAGUGUGAUUUUUCAAAGUUGUUAGAGAAGCCAAGGCUUCUGAGCAUAGAGAGGCAGAGAUCACUGGAGGAAAGGUCACUCAGUGAGUUAUCUAUUGGGAUAUCUCCGUGCCUUUCUAGUAGAGCUAAUGAUCUUAAUUCAUUACGCAUAUUUGAGCAACCAGAUUUUAUUUGUUCGCCGGUGGGUAGAAGGUCGGGUAUUAACACACCAAGGUCACAAACUGGUUUUGACCCGCAUCCAAUGGUUGCCGAAGCUUGGGAAGCCUUGAGAAGGUCUUUGGUGUAUUUUCGUGGUCAACCAGUCGGGACUAUUGCAGCAUUGGAUAAUUCUGAAGAAAACCUUAACUACGAUCAGGUCUUUGUGAGAGACUUUUUCCCUAGCGGAUUGGCUUUCUUGAUGAAUGGGGAACCAGAAAUAGUGAAGAACUUUAUUUUGAAGACCCUUCGCCUUCAAUCAUGGGAGAAAAAGAUUGAUAGAUUUCAGUUAGGAGAAGGAGUAAUGCCAGCUAGUUUCAAAGUGCUCCAUGACCCAGUUAGGAACAAUGAGACAUUAAUUGCAGAUUUUGGUGAGAGUGCAAUAGGAAGAGUUGCUCCUGUUGAUUCUGGAUUUUGGUGGAUUAUUUUGCUUCGAGCGUACACAAAGUCUACCGGAGACACUUCAUUGGCUGAGUUGCCUGAAUGCCAGAAGGGUAUGCGCCUAAUUCUGAGUUUAUGUCUCUCGGAGGGAUUUGACACAUUUCCAACACUUCUCUGUGCUGAUGGUUGCUGCAUGAUUGAUCGUAGAAUGGGUGUAUAUGGCUAUCCCAUCGAAAUCCAAGCUCUUUUCUUUAUGGCUUUAAGAUGCGCUUUGCUUCUACUCAAGCAAGAUGAUGAAGGAAAGGAGUUUAUGGAACGAAUAGUUAAACGACUGCAUGCCUUAAGCUAUCACAUGAGAAGUUAUUUUUGGCUUGACUUGAAGCAGCUCAAUGACAUAUAUCGUUUUAAGACAGAAGAGUACUCCCAUACAGCAGUUAACAAGUUUAAUGUCAUGCCUGACUCUCUUCCAGAAUGGGUUUUUGAUUUUAUGCCAGUUCGUGGUGGCUACUUUAUCGGUAAUGUUAGCCCUGCAAGAAUGGAUUUCCGUUGGUUCUGCUUGGGCAAUUGCAUUGCAAUUCUGUCAUCAUUGGCUACUCCCGAACAAGCCACUGCAAUUAUGGAUCUUAUAGAGUCACGCUGGGAAGAGUUGGUUGGAGAAAUGCCAUUAAAGGUUUGUUAUCCAGCCAUGGAAACUCAUGAAUGGCGGAUUAUAACAGGAUGUGACCCCAAAAACACGCGAUGGAGUUACCACAAUGGAGGAUCAUGGCCAGUGCUUUUAUGGCUGCUGGCAGCUGCAUGCGUGAAGACUGGACGCCCCCAAAUUGCAAGACGCGCCAUUGAAAUAGCUGAAACCAGGUUGCUGAAGGACCACUGGCCUGAAUAUUACGAUGGAAAGCUGGGUCGAUACAUUGGUAAGCAAUCGCGUAAAUCCCAAACCUGGUCUAUUGCUGGUUAUUUGGUGGCAAAAAUGAUGUUGGAAGACCCAUCUCACUUGGGUAUGGUAGCAAUCGAGGAAGACAAACAAAUGAAGCCCCUCUUGAGGAGAUCAAAUUCAUGGACUCUAUGAUUUUUCUUUUACAGUCCAAUCCCCCCUUUCCAUUCUAAUUUCUAGCUUUUGACCAAUUGGCCUGUUCAAUUGGAAGGAAAAGCUGGAAACAUAAUGAAAUUAAAACACCUCAAUGCCUUUCACCUUUUGGCCUAGCGGCUAAGAUGUUUUGAAGAAGGCACGUGAUGUGGGCUCUAAUUCGACCUUUUUUUUUAUGGUGGAAGUUGGAUCUGUUUGGUUAGGCUGUUUCUUGAGUACAUAGAGACAAAAGAGUGGUCGUGUCGUGCUGGGGACUGGGUUGGCAAGCCGCACUUUCGUCUUGACUC